GUUGUAUAUAUAUAAGAUCUAACGUCGAUUUCUUUCCUUCUAUUUUCUGUAAUGGUCGAAUAUUGUUAGUGUAAUGGCCGAAUUGAUGCUUAUUUUUGUGUAUAAUUUUAUUUGGAGGGCCUAAUUUGAACACCUUGGACCAGUCGUAGCAUUGAGGGAUAAUCUGCAUCUCUUGUUUAAUCGUUAGAAGAGUUUGAGAUUGAUUGGUGACAGAGGGGCUCCAUGGAGUACUGGCAGUUUAUCCAUAAUAUUCUUGUAUUGGCAGUAUAUCUAUACCACGAAGUAUUGUUAGAGUACUGGUGGUUUAUCCGUAACUUACUGGCAGCUUGUCUGCAAACUAGUGGUAGUUUGACUGCAUAUUGUUACUAGUGAUUUAUCCACAUCGAGCUUCGACUCUUGCUAUUUUUGGUGUUCAGGUGAAGCAUUCUGGAGAACUCGUUGUAUGUAGCGGAUAGAUGUGUAGGUGUAACAGUCCGUUUUUAGUGAAAUCAAAAUAGUGGUUUCGGGAUCACAAAUCCGAAGUUGAAAAAAAUAUUUUAAAAUUAUUUUAAUAUCUACAGCAUGUUAGAAUUAUGUUAUAAAAAUUUUGUUAAGAAAUUUUACCAUUUGUAUGCUCAAUUUGUGAAAAAGGACUGAGUCGCGUAAAGAGUGAAAGUUGUGUUCUAUUAGCUAAAAGUGUUAAAUAGCUAUAGAACCUUAAAGUGAAAGUCCUUUUGUGGUAAUUGAACCAUUAUUUGAGUUAUUGGAUGAGCAUGGCUUGGUAUUUAUGAAAAUUUUAAAGCUAGGUAAGGGCAAAAAGGUAAUUAGGUAAUUAAAGGCCAAAUUAGUAAAACAAAUAGCUAUCAUCUUUCUCCCAUUUCUUUUGGUGUUGGCUGAAUAUCACCAUAUGAGGGGAGAAGAGAUUUUAUUCAAGCUUUCUCUUUGCAUGUAAGUGAUUCAUUGUCCCAUUUUUGUUGAUUUUAACAUUUUUGGUAUCUUUGUAGCUUAAUCUAGCUAAAUAGGGGACUAAUUUGUAAAAUGGUUGAAAGCCUAGGGUUUUAUAAUUGAUGCAUAUGUUAGGGUUUAGAAUUUUAUUGGAAUAAAAUGAGUCUUUGUUGUUAAUUAAACAACUUUUGUUAAGGGAUUUUUAAUGAAAUUACCAUUUAGGGGUUAAAUUGUGAAAUAUGAAAAUUGUGUGUUAAAUGUGUGAAAUUUUGGAUUGUAUGGGCUGAUAUAAGUGUAUAUGAAAUUUUGGCUAGGCUUGGUUAAGGGUCAAAUUUCAUGAAUAUCAUUUUACGAGCCUAGGGACUAAAUUGUAAAAAGGUUAAAAGUAUAGGGGAAAAUAGUAAUUUUGUCAAAACCUGAAUUUUUGGAUUUAAUUUAAUAGAAUAAUGAUUAAAAUAGUUAAUUUGAUUAUAUAGAUCAAGAAAAGCAACGAAAGGAAUUAGAUUAGGGAAAGGACAAACUUAUCGAAUAAACGAUCAUUUUCUGUCAUACGAGUUUGAGGUAAGUUCAUAAAAUUAAAUUGUGUAUUUAUAUACUUUAAUUAAAAAUAUAUGUACUAAAUUGUGUAAUUAUGAUGUAUAAAUUAUCGAAUGCAUAACCGAUGAAGUACGGAGAAAUACCGAGCCCUGUUGAACCUUAAAAAUUCGUAGGAUACAAAUGACAUGUCAUUAGGGUUACCAUUUUGGUUGAAGUCUUGCAUGUGUUGUGGACUCACCACAGCUUGUAUGAGCUUACCGAUAUUCAGCUCGGAGGAGCUUACCGUUUAUCGCUCGUAUGAGCCUACAUGUUCAGGAAUUUACAGAUUAUAGUCCAGCACACCUCGUGUGUAUUACCCGCGUAUCUAAUGAGAUUCUAAGUGGUUCAACGGGUGUAGUGUAUUAUGAGGUUAUAUAAGUUAGAUGUGAAAUAUUGUAGGUAGUUACAUAGAGAUGAUUUAUAUAUUUUAUAUAUAGAUAUGUGGUAAAAAUGUUAAAAGUACAUGGAAUUCCAGUAAUUGUUGAAUUCAUGCAUGAUUCUCGGUUUUAUAUGUAUGCAUGACUAAUUUGGUGAAUGGCUAUAUGAUAGGCUUUGGCCAAAUUGAAUUGAGUUACUUGCCUAAAAUUGUGGUUAUAUGGUAAGUUUAAUUCUACGUAUUAUGAAUUUACUAAGCUUAAUUGCUUACUCCGUUUAUUUUUUCAUGUUUUUUUAAUGUCUCGGAAGCUCGUUCGGAUUGAAAGACGUCAAGGAUCGCAUCACACUAUCAAACACUUAUUUUGGUACUUUGGAUUCUAUAUAUUUUGGUUAAAUGGCAUGUAUAGGUAUGUUGGCUAAUGUGGCCUAUAUGUCUUGUUGAGUUUUGACCAUUUGAGUUUACUUGUAAAGUGGUCAUAUAUUUUGAUAUGUGUAUAUGUAUAAAUGUCCUUAUGUUAUGUGGUGUAUAGAGGUUAUAUGAAUGCCUUGUUUGUGAAA
Gossypium arboreum is the source of this 2433-nucleotide long non-coding RNA. RefSeq lists it as uncharacterized. The transcript is spliced from 2 exons. NCBI's taxonomy places the organism in Eukaryota, Viridiplantae, Streptophyta, Magnoliopsida, Malvales, Malvaceae. The record is from RefSeq and is a predicted model, not a curated record.